This 496-nucleotide ribosomal RNA is filed under the name uncultured bacterium. Its description in RNAcentral is "partial 16S ribosomal RNA". It matches the Rfam family "Bacterial small subunit ribosomal RNA", at positions 29 to 507 of the family's 1533-position model. The record is from RNAcentral.
AUGAACGCUGGCGGCGUGCCUAAUACAUGCAAGUCGAGCGAACAGACGAGGAGCUUGCUCCUUUGACGUUAGCGGCGGACGGGUGAGUAACACGUAGGUAACCUACCUAUAAGACUGGGAUAACUUCGGGAAACCGGAGCUAAUACCGGAUAAUAUUUCGAACCGCAUGGUUCGAUAGUGAAAGAUGGCUUUGCUAUCACUUAUAGAUGGACCUGCGCCGUAUUAGCUAGUUGGUAAGGUAACGGCUUACCAAGGCAACGAUACGUAGCCAACCUGAGAGGGUGAUCGGCCACACUGGAACUGAGACACGGUCCAGACUCCUACGGGAGGCAGCAGUAGGGAAUCUUCCGCAAUGGGCGAAAGCCUGACGGAGCAACGCCGCGUGAGUGAUGAAGGUCUUCGGAUCGUAAAACUCUGUUAUUAGGGAAGAACAAACGUGUAAGUAACUGUGCACGUCUUGACGGUACCUAAUCAGAAAGCCACGGCUAACUACGUG